Molecule: ribosomal RNA, 253 nt
Filed under: uncultured bacterium
Lineage: Bacteria
Description: partial 16S ribosomal RNA
Rfam family: Bacterial small subunit ribosomal RNA
Source: RNAcentral
UACGUAGGAGGCGAGCGUUGUCCGGAAUUACUGGGUGUAAAGCGCGUGUAGGUGGCAGGCCAAGUCUGUGGUGAAAUCGCCCGGCUCAACUGGGCGGGGUCCAUGGAAACUGGUCAGCUGGAGGACGGUAGAGGCGAGUGGAAUUCCCGGCGUAGUGGUGAAAUGCGUAGAGAUCGGGAGGAACACCAGUGGCGAAGGCGGCUCGCUGGGCCGGUCCUGACACUGAGACGCGAAGGCGUGGGGAGCGAACGGG